This 611-nucleotide ribosomal RNA is filed under the name fungal endophyte. Its description in RNAcentral is "eukaryotic LSU rRNA". The stretch from base 178 to 331 matches the Rfam family "5.8S ribosomal RNA". The record is from RNAcentral. Lineage: Eukaryota; Fungi.
CAUUACUGAGUUUACGCUCUAUAACCCUUUGUGAACAUACCUAUAACUGUUGCUUCGGCGGGUAGGGUCUCCGUGACCCUCCCGGCCUCCCGCCCCCGGGCGGGUCGGCGCCCGCCGGAGGAUAACCAAACUCUGAUUUAACGACGUUUCUUCUGAGUGGUACAAGCAAAUAAUCAAAACUUUUAACAACGGAUCUCUUGGUUCUGGCAUCGAUGAAGAACGCAGCGAAAUGCGAUAAGUAAUGUGAAUUGCAGAAUUCAGUGAAUCAUCGAAUCUUUGAACGCACAUUGCGCCCGCCAGCAUUCUGGCGGGCAUGCCUGUUCGAGCGUCAUUUCAACCCUCAAGCUCUGCUUGGUGUUGGGGCCCUACAGCUGAUGUAGGCCCUCAAAGGUAGUGGCGGACCCUCCCGGAGCCUCCUUUGCGUAGUAACUUUACGUCUCGCACUGGGAUCCGGAGGGACUCUUGCCGUAAAACCCCCAAUUUUCCAAAGGUUGACCUCGGAUCAGGUAGGAAUACCCGCUGAACUUAAGCAUAUCAAUAAGCGGAGGAAAAGAAACCAACAGGGAUUGCCUCAGUAACGGCGAGUGAAGCGGCAACAGCUCAAAUUUGAA